RNAcentral lists this ribosomal RNA (293 nucleotides) under uncultured bacterium. Its description in RNAcentral is "partial 16S ribosomal RNA". It matches the Rfam family "Bacterial small subunit ribosomal RNA", at positions 775 to 1067 of the family's 1533-position model. The record is from RNAcentral.
GGAUUAGAUACCCUGGUAGUCCACGCCGUAAACGAUGUCGACUUGGAGGUUGUGCCCUUGAGGCGUGGCUUCCGGAGCUAACGCGUUAAGUCGACCGCCUGGGGAGUACGGCCGCAAGGUUAAAACUCAAAUGAAUUGACGGGGGCCCGCACAAGCGGUGGAGCAUGUGGUUUAAUUCGAUGCAACGCGAAGAACCUUACCUGGUCUUGACAUCCACAGAACUUUCCAGAGAUGGAUUGGUGCCUUCGGGAACUGUGAGACAGGUGCUGCAUGGCUGUCGUCAGCUCGUGCUG